Molecule: long non-coding RNA, 3779 nt
Filed under: Mytilus galloprovincialis (Mediterranean mussel)
Lineage: Eukaryota; Metazoa; Mollusca; Bivalvia; Mytilida; Mytilidae
Source: RNAcentral
GUUGGAAAUGAAAUUAUUGUCCAUUGAUAAUAUUGGAAAUAUUGUUAGAAAACAUUAAUAUUGUUCGUGUGUGGUUUGAAAGUCUGUUCUUGUUUGAUCCUUCGGAUUGUCACAAUAGUGCAUAGGUAACUAAUUGUAUCUGUUUCCGUAAGAAUUGUUUGAAUCGUCAUGGAUUGUUUUGAUAUUCGGGCUCCUGAAUUGAUGUUCUGUAGUCAAGUGGCGAUUGACCUGUAUGGUAUCGUUCCUAACAUCACAUAAGUAGAUUUUUAUAAAUUGGCUUAGGGUUCUGUUUGUCUCCUUAUGGUUGAUAAAUUUCUGUCUCCACCUGGUAAGGUUGUUUGACUUUUCCUUUGUUGUCAUAAAGAAGGUUCGGGCCUCUACCAUAUUGUUGUGAAGAGGUUUUUGAUAUUGUUGUUGAAAACUUCAGAUGGUGGUUACUUGUUAUGUUUGUAAUUUGAAUUGUCUUUGAUGGUUUCUAAUUGAUAAACAUGAUGUUGAUUUGCCUCUUCUUGUUUUCUGAGUUCUUCUACGGUUCUUGUAGUUAGAAAGGAUGUUUGGACUUCUGGGGACUACAUGUCGUUGUUGUGGACUGGCUUGGCAGCGAGGGUGGGACUCGCGCCUUCUUACCCUUUUUAAUGAAAUAAAUAAGACAACUCAAUUUGCUGGUUGGAACAAGGAUUGUAAUGUAAUGUAAUGUCAUGUUUCUUUUCUUUUUGAUCGUAAAAUAUUACAAUGCAUAAAUCAUACAGAUUAAUAACAGAUAACAUUAUCAAUUGACAAUAAAAAAUAUAUUUCUAUUUCAAAUAUUGCUCGAAUUAAACUUAUUAUAUUUAUUGAAUUAUUUCCUAUUAAUUUUCAAUUAAUUUAUUUUAUUAAAUUACUUUAAUUAACAUUAUAUAGCUUACCUUUUUAAUGAAAUAAAUAAGACAACUCAAUUUGCUGGUUGGAACAAGGAUUGUAAUGUAAUGUACGGGCAGUAGACUUAUAUUUGCUUUUAUAGUCACUACUCAUUACCCGACAUUCCUGUUCCCCAGACAAGAUUGAGCGUCUUUUGUAAAAGAUGGAAUGUGUUGCCAAAACAUUUAUUGCUUCAUAAUAUGCAAAAUGUAUUUAUUUGUUUUUGAAAAGCAUUUGGACUUUUAUUUCUUAAAUUAAAUAAAAUAAUAUUUUUGUAAGAAUUUCAAUUUCUGAUCUUUAUUAUAAUUGAUAAUUAAAGAUUUGUUAAAUUUUAAUUAAUAUCUUGUGUACGUCAAUCUUCGUAUCUAAACUUUUUGAUUGGUUAUUAAUACAAUCUUGUGUGCCUAAAUGUAUUACUGAAUAUUCAUGAUGCUGUAGUAUCUACACAUUCUGUGAAUAUGGUUAUAACCUUGGAUGUAAUAUCAAUUCAACAUACAUAUGUCCGUCGACCUAGCAACCUUCUAACAAGUGCCAAAUAACUAAUGAGGUUCUUGACUUGUACUAUCUUUGCUUGUCAUGCAUCUAAGAUAAUGGCUUGUUAUUCGCUAGCUUCUUUAUGUGUUUUCUUCUUACUUUUAUUUUCCUAUAUCAAUGAAUCAUUUUGACCUUUAUAUAAUCUUUUACUUGGAACUAUCUUAAUUACCUAUAAACCUAUAUUUUUGUUUAAAUAAGAUCUAUUUUAUUUCAAUUUCUAAUUAUUUCUAAAAGUGUCCUAAAUCCUUUCAUAACAUUAUUGUUGUGAUGGUAUUUUUGGACAUCAGUUGUGAAAGGAAGUUCUUCGUCGACUGUUGUGACGGGGAUUUUAUGUUGUUUUAGUUGUUGUAAUGUUAACUUCCCAGGGAGGUCACUUGUUAAUGUUGUUAUUACGGUUGUCUUCGGUGGUUUCUAAAUUGAACAACAUGGUGUUGAUUUGCCUCCUCUCGUUUGCUCAGCUCUUCUACGAUUCUUGUAGGUAGAAUGAUGUCUGGACAUCUGGGGACUACAUGUCGUUGUUGUGGACUGGCUUGGCAGCGAGGGUGGGACUCGCGCCUUCUUACCCUUUUUUAAUGAAAUAAAUAAGACAACUCAAUUUGCUGGUUGGAACAAGGAUUGUAAUGUAAUGUAAUGUCAUGUUUCUUUUCUUUUUGAUCGUAAAAUAUUACAAUGCAUAAAUCAUACAGAUUAAUAACAGAUAACAUUAUCAAUUGACAAUAAAAAUAUAUUUCUAUUUCAAAUAUUGCUCGAAUUAAACUUAUUAUAUUUAUUGAAUUAUUUCCUAUUAAUUUUCAAUUAAUUUAUUUUAUUAAAUUACUUUAAUUAACAUUAUAUAGCUUACCUUUUUAAUGAAAUAAAUAAGACAACUCAAUUUGCUGGUUGGAACAAGGAUUGUAAUGUAAUGUACGGGCAGUAGACUUAUAUUUGCUUUUAUAGUCACUACUCAUUACCCGACAUUCCUGUUCCCCAGACAAGAUUGAGCGUCUUUGUAAAAAGAUGGAAUGUGUUGCCAAAACAUUUAUUGCUUCAUAAUAUGCAAAAUGUAUUUAUUUGUUUUUUGAAAGCAUUUGGACUUUUAUUUCUUAAAUUAAAUAAAAUAAUAUUUUUGUAAGAAUUUCAAUUUCUGAUCUUUAUUAUAAUUGAUAAUUAAAGAUUUGUUAAAAUUUUAAUUAAUAUCUUGUGUACGUCAAUCUUCGUAUCUAAACUUUUUUUGAUUGGUUAUUAAUACAAUCUUGUGUGCCUAAAUGUAUUAACUGAAAUAUUCAUGAUGCUGUAGUAUCUACACAUUCUGUGAAUAUGGUUAUAACCUUGGAUGUAAUAUCAAUUCAACAUACAUAUGUCCGUCGACCUAGCAACCUUCUAAACAAGUGCCAAAUAACUAAUGAGGUUCUUGACUUGUACUAUUUUGCUUGUCAUGCAUCUAAGAUAAUGCUUGUUAUUCGCUAGCUUCUUUAUGUGUUUUCUUCUUACUUUAUUUUCCUAUAUCAAUGAAUCAUUUGACUUUAUAUAAUCUUUUACUUGGAACUAUCUUAAUUACCUAUAAACCUAUAUUUUUGUUUAAAUAAGAUCUAUUUUAUUUCAAUUUCUAAUUAUUUCUAAAAGUGUCCUAAAUCCUUUCAUAACAUUAUUGUUGUGAUGGUAUUUUUGGGACAUCAGUUGUGAAAGGAAGUUCUUCGUCGACUGUUGUGACGGGGAUUUUAUGUUGUUUUAGUUGUUGUAAUGUUAACUUCCCAGGGAGGUCACUUGUUAAUGUUGUUAUUACGGUUGUCUUCGGUGGUUUCUAAAUUGAACAACAUGGUGUUGAUUUGCCUCCUCUCGUUUGCUCAGUUCUUCUACGAUUCUUGUAGGUAGAAUGAUGUCUGGACAUCUGGGGACUACAUGUCGUUGUUGUGGACUGGCUUGGCAGCGAGGGUGGGACUCGCGCCUUCUUACCCUUUUUAAUGAAAUAAAUAAGACAACUCAAUUUGCUGGUUGGAACAAGGAUUGUAAUGUAAUGUAAUGUCAUGUUUUUUUUCUUUUUGAUCGUAAAAUAUUACAAUGCAUAAAUCAUACAGAUUAAUAACAGAUAACAUUAUCAAUUGACAAUAAAAAAUAUAUUUCUAUUUCAAAUAUUGCUCGAAUUAAACUUAUUAUAUUUAUUGAAUUAUUUCCUAUUAAUUUUCAAUUAAUUUAUUUUAUUAAAUUACUUUAAUUAACAUUAUAUAGCUUACCUUUUUAAUGAAAUAAAUAAGACAACUCAAUUUGCUGGUUGGAACAAGGAUUGUAAUGUAAUGUACGGGCAGUAGACUUAUAUUUGCUUUUAUAGUCACUACUCAUUACCCGACAUUCCUGUUCCCCAGACAAGAUUG